UACGGAGGGUGCAAGCGUUAUCCGGAUUCACUGGGUUUAAAGGGUGCGUAGGUGGGCUAGUAAGUCCGUGGUGAAAUCUCCAAGCUUAACUUGGAAACUGCCGUGGAUACUAUUAGUCUUGAAUAUUGUGGAGGUAAGCGGAAUAUGUCAUGUAGCGGUGAAAUGCUUAGAUAUGACAUAGAACACCGAUAGCGAAGGCAGCUUGCUACACAAUCAUUGACACUGAGUCACGAAAUC
This 237-nucleotide ribosomal RNA is filed under the name uncultured bacterium. RNAcentral's name for it is "partial 16S ribosomal RNA". It matches the Rfam family "Bacterial small subunit ribosomal RNA", at positions 524 to 760 of the family's 1533-position model. The record is from RNAcentral.